Long non-coding RNA from Betta splendens (Siamese fighting fish), 1780 nucleotides. The record is from Ensembl. NCBI's taxonomy places the organism in Eukaryota, Metazoa, Chordata, Actinopteri, Anabantiformes, Osphronemidae.
AGCAGCAGGAUGCAGAACCUCCCCCUCUCGGGCCGACCCAGCAGAACUCACACCUUUUGUCCGCAGGAAUGUGAGGAAUCCCCAGCUUCCAGACUGGGAGUCCUGAAGGAGGAUCUCCAGGCCCUCGAUGAGGAGCUGGUCUGAGGCUCCGACAUCAAACUGGAUGCUUGUCUGUCUUCAAUGUUUCAAACAGUUUCCCCCUUAAAUCAUUAAGGAUGAAUGCUUCCACACUCUUCGUUUCUGAAACCACUAAAAAAAUAAAAACAAUAAUUAUUUCUUUUCCAGUGAGUCAGGUUUCUUCUCAGCUCCUCAGCAGCUGAAUAACAGGAUCAAGAAUAAACUGUCAGGUUGCUGCUGUUGGCAGCGAGCAGCUGUAACUCAAAUGGCUCCACACAGUAUCACGAUCUGGACCCGACCCGGGAACCAGUUCUGCUUCAGAGCGAGCCACCGUGGUUCACCCGCAGCUACAGAGACGACUGGAGCUGCUGAACAGGUGGAUGUUAGUCAACAGGGGUUCUGCCCAGCGGUUCUGGUCACCGGUUCUGCCCAGCGCUUCUUUUCUUUUUUUUUUUUUUUUUUUGGUUCUCCUCUAUGGCUCUUUUCCGCACUUUUUCUCAGCGCUUCUUCUCAUUGGUUCUUCUCAUUGGUUAUACACAGCUGUUCUGCUCGGUGGUUCUGCUCAGCGGUUCUUCUCAUUGGUUCUUCUCAGCGGUUCUUCUCAUUGGCUCAUCUCAUUGGUUCUUCUCAGCGGUUCUGCCCAGCUGUUCUGUUCAGCGGGUUCUUCUCAUUGGUUCUUCUCAUUGGUCCUGCUCAGCGGUUCUGCUCAGCAGUUCUUCUCAUUGGUUCUUCUCAUUGGUUACACCCAGCGGUUCUGACCAGCUGUUCUGCUCAGUGGUUCUUCUCAUUGGUUCUUCUCAUUGGUCCUGCUCAGCGGUUCUGCUCAGCAGUUCUUCUCAUUGGUUCUUCUCAUUGGUUACACCCAGCGGUUCUGACCAGCUGUUCUGCUCAGUGGUUCUUCUCAUUGGUUCUUCUCAUUGGUUCUUCUCAGCGGUUCUUCUCAUUGGCUCAUCUCAUUGGUUCUUCUCAGCGGUUCUGCCCAGCUGUUCUGUUCAGCGGGUUCUUCUCAUUGGUUCUUCUCAUUGGUCCUGCUCAGCGGUUCUGCUCAGCAGUUCUUCUCAUUGGUUCUUCUCAUUGGUUACACCCAGCGGUUCUGACCAGCUGUUCUGCUCAGUGGUUCUUCUCAUUGGUUCUUCUCAUUGGUCCUGCUCAGCGGUUCUGCUCAGCAGUUCUUCUCAUUGGUUCUUCUCAUUGGUUACACCCAGCGGUUCUGACCAGCUGUUCUGCUCAGUGGUUCUUCUCAUUGGUUCUUCUCAUUGGUUCUUCUCAGCGGUUCUUCUCAUUGGCUCAUUCUCAUUGGUUCUUCUCAGCGGUUCUGCCCAGAUGUUCUGUUUCAGCGGGUUUCUUCUCAUUUGGUUCUUCUCAUUGGUCCUGCUCAGCGGUUCUGCUCAGCAGUUCUUCUCAUUGGUUCUUCUCAUUGGUUACACCCAGCGGUUCUGACCAGCUGUUCUGCUCAGUGGUUCUUCUCAUUGGUUCUUCUCAUUGGUCCUGCUCAGCGGUUCUGCUCAGCAGUUCUUCUCAUUGGUUCUUCUCAUUGGUUACACCCAGCGGUUCUGACCAGCUGUUCUGCUCAGCUGUUCUGUUCAGCGGUUCUUCUCAGUGGUUCUUCUCAUUGGUUCUUCUUAUUGGUUCUUCUCAUUGGUUCUGCUGUGUUGGGCGUUGA